Molecule: ribosomal RNA, 292 nt
Filed under: uncultured bacterium
Lineage: Bacteria
Description: partial 16S ribosomal RNA
Rfam family: Bacterial small subunit ribosomal RNA
Source: RNAcentral
GUGUCAGCAGCCGCGGUAAGACGUAGGGCGCGAGCGUUGUCCGGAUUUAUUGGGCGUAAAGAGCUCGUAGGCGGCUCGUUGCGUCAACCGUGAAAACCCGGGGCUUAACUUCGGGCUUGCGGUUGAUACGGGCGGGCUGGAGUUCGGUAGGGGAGACUGGAAUUCCUGGUGUAGCGGUGAAAUGCGCAGAUAUCAGGAGGAACACCGGUGGCGAAGGCGGGUCUCUGGGCCGAUACUGACGCUGAGGAGCGAAAGCGUGGGGAGCGAACAGGAUUAGAUACCCCCGUAGUCC